GUAGGCUAUGGUCCUAAUCCAGGUUCAGUGCUCUCUUCUCCACAGACUACAGAAAGCAGCAUGUCCUCAGUCCAAUAGUGGAUCAUUAAUGACUUAACGCACUUCCAAAUGACUGUGGGCAGCUGCUUGGGAGGUGCGUGUUGCCCAGAGGAGGAGGGAGAGAGACGGAUGUAGAGCUGGCCCUGUCUGCGGCGCCCAGGCACCUGUGUGGAGACAGGAGCAGUUGUUGGCAUCUGCUGAGAGACAAAAGUCCAGAAAUAGGAGCAACUCUGAAACCACCUCUCUCACUGA
Molecule: long non-coding RNA, 291 nt
Organism: Periophthalmus magnuspinnatus
Lineage: Eukaryota; Metazoa; Chordata; Actinopteri; Gobiiformes; Gobiidae
Exons: 3
Source: RefSeq, a predicted model, not a curated record